GCAGAGGGAGAGGCAGGGAACCUGAUGUGGGACUCAAUCCCAGGACCCCGGGAUCAUGACCUGAGGCAAAGGCAGAUGCUCAACCACUGAGUCACCCAAAGGUCCCAAAGCACAGAUCUUUAAUCUUACUGCUUUGCUCUGGGAAUCUACUGCCAGAAUCUGCGAGAAUAAGCUUCCUGACCUCAGCCUAUAAGUUCACUUGGCGCUGAUAUUCUUAAAUGGGACUCAAACACACAAGGAAGAGGAGAAUGGGAAAGGAGAGACAGCAACAAAUUUGGAAGCUGGAAAUCGGAAGGAUGCAUAGCAAUUCAUCUGGCCACCCAGGAGAAGCUGAACGUGGAGAGCUAUUGGUGAGGCAGCAGGAAAAGCAAUCUGAGAAAUCUCAGGUGUUCACGGGAAAAUAGGGCCGAAGAACACUCUUCUCUUUUCCUUCUACCGCACUGACAGCUCAUUGUUUUCAGUUUCCUUUAAUGGAUCCCUAUCGCCCUGACAACAUCCUAAUACCUGUGUUCUAAAUCUCAGUCACCAAACAUCUCUCUACAUACUCAUUCCCUGAUUGUAUCCAGCUGCAUGGAAUUAAACAUCAUCCAUAAACCAACAACUCCAAAAUGUAGAUCCCUCAAUCCUGACAUUUUCCCAGACUCUACAGUUGAAUCUAACUGCCCUUUUAACAUCCCCAUUCGUGUAUCUGAUGGACAUCUUGGACCUAACAGGACUAAAACAGAAUUCCUGAUUUGCACCCCCGACCCCCGCCCUCCACCCCCUGCUAAAACCUGCUCUGCUUUUGCUCUAACCUUCCUCACAUGGAGGUGUCAGGUUUAAUCUGAUCGGUAGUGAAAUGGAAUAGAGAGGCCAGGCAAAAGUUGGUGGAAACAGGCUUUUAAUGGGACGCGCUCUGGGCGGGUGAGG
Molecule: long non-coding RNA, 909 nt
Organism: Canis lupus familiaris (dog)
Lineage: Eukaryota; Metazoa; Chordata; Mammalia; Carnivora; Canidae
Exons: 4
Source: RefSeq, a predicted model, not a curated record